AAUCUUGUUAAAAAAUUUCUCCCACUUAUAUUGCCAUACCGCUCCCGGCCUCACAGCUGGGAGACUAUGGUGAUAAACGCAUUUCGCAAUAAACGUUAUGGACUUGGGUGCAAUUCCCAACGCCUCCACCACUAAAUUUGGGGGCGACCAGCUUUCGACAUUCGCUAAAGGAAAUGUUUUCACACGGUUGAGAAACUGCCGGUCUGCUUCGCAGGCAUCCGUUCAAACAAGUAAACGCAAACGAUAACUUUGCUAAUGAUAACUUCGAAUUUGCUCCUGCAACAAAAGUUGCUCUUGCAUAAGUGAAAUUAUCGGGGCUCGCCCGACGCCUGUCAACAGAAGUCGGGCACU
This 351-nucleotide transfer-messenger RNA is filed under the name Alphaproteobacteria bacterium RIFCSPHIGHO2_01_FULL_40_8. It matches the Rfam family "Alphaproteobacteria transfer-messenger RNA". From Rfam's summary of the family: Bacterial tmRNA, also known as 10Sa RNA or SsrA, is named for its dual tRNA and mRNA-like properties. The record is from RNAcentral. Lineage: Bacteria; Pseudomonadati; Pseudomonadota; Alphaproteobacteria. RNAcentral also lists the same sequence under 4 other names.